RNAcentral lists this ribosomal RNA (714 nucleotides) under uncultured bacterium. RNAcentral describes it as "bacterial SSU rRNA". It matches the Rfam family "Bacterial small subunit ribosomal RNA", at positions 61 to 766 of the family's 1533-position model. The record is from RNAcentral.
GUCGAGGGGCAUCGGGAGGGAAGCUUGCUUUCCUUGCCGGCGACCGGCGCACGGGUGAGUAACACGUAUGCAACCUGCCCUCUUCAGGGGGACAACCUUCCGAAAGGGAGGCUAAUCCCGCGUAUAUCGGUUUCGGGCAUCCGAGAUCGAGGAAAGAUUCAUCGGAAGAGGAUGGGCAUGCGGCGCAUUAGCUAGACGGCGGGGUAACGGCCCACCGUGGCGACGAUGCGUAGGGGUUCUGAGAGGAAGGUCCCCCACACUGGUACUGAGACACGGACCAGACUCCUACGGGAGGCAGCAGUGAGGAAUAUUGGUCAAUGGGAGAGAUCCUGAACCAGCCAAGCCGCGUGAGGGAAGACGGCCCUAUGGGUUGUAAACCUCUUUUGUCGGGGAGCAAAGCGAACCACGUGUCCCGGACUGCGUGUAUCCGAAGAAAAAGCAUCGGCUAACUCCGUGCCAGCAGCCGCGGUAAUACGGAGGAUGCGAGCGUUAUCCGGAUUUAUUGGGUUUAAAGGGUGCGCAGGCGGAGGUGCAAGUCAGCGGUCAAAUCGCGGGGCUCAACCCCGUACUGCCGUUGAAACUGCAUCCCUUGAGUGCGCGAGAAGUAUGCGGAAUGCGUGGUGUAGCGGUGAAAUGCAUAGAUAUCACGGAGAACUCCGAUUGCGAAGGCAGCAUACCGGCGCGCAACUGACGCUCAUGCACGAAAGCGUGGGU